CCUACGGGGGGCAGCAGUGGGGAAUAUUGGACAAUGGGCGAAAGCCUGAUCCAGCCAUGCCGCGUGUGUGAAGAAGGCCUUCGGGUUGUAAAGCACUUUCAGUGGGGAAGAAAGCCUUGGGGCUAAUACCCUCGAGGAAGGACAUCACCCACAGAAGAAGCACCGGCUAACUCCGUGCCAGCAGCCGCGGUAAUACGGAGGGUGCGAGCGUUAAUCGGAAUUACUGGGCGUAAAGCGCGCGUAGGCGGUCUGAUAAGCCGGUUGUGAAAGCCCCGGGCUCAACCUGGGAACGGCAUCCGGAACUGUCAGGCUAGAGUGAAGGAGAGGAAGGUAGAAUUCCCGGUGUAGCGGUGAAAUGCGUAGAGAUCGGGAGGAAUACCAGUGGCGAAGGCGGCCUUCUGGACUGACACUGACGCUGAGGUGCGAAAGCGUGGGUAGCAAACAGGACUAGAUACCGAGUAGUC
This 464-nucleotide ribosomal RNA is filed under the name Vreelandella stevensii. RNAcentral's name for it is "partial 16S ribosomal RNA". It matches the Rfam family "Bacterial small subunit ribosomal RNA", at positions 338 to 795 of the family's 1533-position model. Lineage: Bacteria; Pseudomonadati; Pseudomonadota; Gammaproteobacteria; Oceanospirillales; Halomonadaceae. The record is from RNAcentral.